ACGGGUGAGUAACACGUUGGAACCUGCCCCAAAGUGAGGAAUAAGCCACCGAAAGGUGGUCUAAUACUUCAUAAUAUCCAUCUCGUAUGGAUUAAAGCUUUAUGCGCUUUGGGAGGGGCCUGCGUAACAUUAGCUUGUUGGUGAGGUAAAAGCUCACCAAGGCUUCGAUGUUUAACUGGUUUGAGAGGAUGACCAGUCACACUGGGACUGAGAUACGGCCCAGACUCCUACGGGAGGCAGCAGUAAGGAAUCUUCCACAAUGGGGCAACCCUGAUGGAGCAAUACCGCGUGCAGGAUGAAGCGUUUCGGCGUGUAAACUGCUUUUAUCACCGAAGAUUAUGACUGUAGGUGAAGAAUAAGGACCGGCUAACUACGUG
RNAcentral lists this ribosomal RNA (377 nucleotides) under uncultured bacterium. RNAcentral's name for it is "bacterial SSU rRNA". It matches the Rfam family "Bacterial small subunit ribosomal RNA", at positions 102 to 507 of the family's 1533-position model. The record is from RNAcentral.